Molecule: long non-coding RNA, 209 nt
Filed under: Elaeis guineensis (African oil palm)
Lineage: Eukaryota; Viridiplantae; Streptophyta; Magnoliopsida; Arecales; Arecaceae
Description: long non-coding RNA (EGUI_LNC053440)
Source: RNAcentral
CGAGCAUUGAAAAUAGCACAACUGGUCUUGUGCCACUCAGCAUCAUCGGGAGUGCCAAAAAACUUGUUCAACACUUUGAGCAUGUCUUCUGGCUGAGCUUCCUCAAAUUUGCAAUUGAACUCAUUGUUUAUGGCUGCCCACAUGAUACAACGCAUUGUGGUGCGAUCGUUGAGCUACUUCAAGUAAGUGUCUCGAGCCACACCACGAGC